GAUGAACGCUAGCGGCAGGCUUAAUACAUGCAAGUCGUGGGGCAGCAGGUCCCGCAGCAAUGCGGGAUGCUGGCGACCGGCAAACGGGUGCGGAACACGUACACAACCUUCCUUUAAGUGGGGCAUAGCCUAAGGAAACUUGGAUUAAUACCCCGUAACAUAUUGAAAAGGCAUCUUUUUAAUAUUAUAGCAGCAAUGCGCUUGAAGACGGGUGUGCGUCUGAUUAGGAGUUGGUGGGGUAACGGCCCACCAAGCCUUCGAUCAGUAACUGGUGUGAGAGCACGACCAGUCACACGGGCACUGAGACACGGGCCCGACUCCUACGGGAGGCAGCAGUAAGGAAUAUUGGUCAAUGGAC
Molecule: ribosomal RNA, 358 nt
Filed under: uncultured bacterium
Lineage: Bacteria
Description: bacterial SSU rRNA
Rfam family: Bacterial small subunit ribosomal RNA
Source: RNAcentral